RNAcentral lists this ribosomal RNA (519 nucleotides) under Triticum aestivum (bread wheat). Its description in RNAcentral is "partial small subunit ribosomal RNA". Lineage: Eukaryota; Viridiplantae; Streptophyta; Magnoliopsida; Poales; Poaceae. The record is from RNAcentral.
AUGUCAAAGAUCGUCUGUUGGAACGUGCGUGGCCUAAACACGCCUGCCCGCCGCGACGCGGUGCGGGACAUCGUCCGAGACUGCAAAGCCUCCAUCGCGUGUCUCCAAGAGACUAAGCUGGCGAUCGUCGAUGACGCGUUAAUUACAAGUAUGCUUGGGCCCUCCUUCACUGCGAACUAUUUGGCACUCCCCGCUGCGGGCUCCAGGGGUGGUAUGAUCAUGGCCGUCUCAGACACUUUCUUCAAGAUGUCUGAUUUCCACACCACGCCUGGAUCGAUUUCGGCCACCAUCACCAUGCUUGCCGAGGGCCUGGUCUGGACCCUAUCUUGUGUCUAUGGCCCUCAAGGGGAGCAAGAAAAGCAACUCUUCAUUGAUGAGCUUAGGGGACUGAAGAGCGUGGUGAAGCCUCGGUGGCUCAUCCUCGGUAACUUCAACCUAAUCACCAAGGCAGCUGACAAGAACAAUCCGAACAUCAACAAGCGCCUCAUCGGACGCUUCCGGGCUGCGCUAAACCACCUG